Molecule: long non-coding RNA, 975 nt
Organism: Bombyx mori (domestic silkworm)
Lineage: Eukaryota; Metazoa; Arthropoda; Insecta; Lepidoptera; Bombycidae
Exons: 3
Source: RefSeq, a predicted model, not a curated record
ACAUAUGUACACAUGUACCACUAUGUCCCUGAAGAGGUUAAUGUUUUUGUGUCAAUUGAAAGAUUGGUGUAUUUCAUAGAGAGGUUACAAAAGUGACAGACGUAGAUGUUCCUAACAAAAUGACGGAUCAGUAAAUCUGUACCUAAAUAUAUUUCUGAUUCAGUCGCAAUUCUUAGAUCUAAACUGAAAAUUUCAGAUUAGUAUUAAAUUGAAAAUUCUUCGUUUCGGAGUAAUACAAAACGCACAGAACGUGAACUACAAUUUUCAUAUUUGAAGUGAAGUUCGAAUCCUUUGUUAUGGUGGACGGACACUCAGUUUUAGGUAUCUAUCUCUACAGUAUACCGAAGACAUUAAAACUUCGUGAUAGAAACCGUGAUCCAAGUACCAUUAAAGAACAACAAUCUUCAACACCAGGAAACUUUAAAGUUUACGAAUAAUUAAUUCACCACACUUCGAAGCGCACAGCACUUGUAGCGAAGUUGAAAAAUUCAAGUUCUACAAUGUUGUUUGUUUAAAUUAUAAUGAUGAAAAUCUUCCGAUUACUUAACGUACACGAAUUUAAUGUCGAACCUAUGAUUGUUUCUUGAACAAACAUUUAAAUAAAAAGAACACAGGCCUCGGAAGAAAGCACAAAUAAAAACCGAUUAAACUAGAACUAGAAUUUUCCAGCGUAGUUAUUUAAACAAAAUUAUUUUAAUUGAAAAGUUGACCAAUUUGUGGGAAUUUGUAAGACUACUGCGUCUCUUUCUCGAGUGCGCCGCUACGAACUUAGGAUUGCAAAAUAAAAAAACCGUCUCUUUAAUUUGAGGACAUAUUUACGAAUUAGGAUAAUGAAUGGAAGGAAUGGACCACGACGCCAUAAACGUGAUCAUUAUUCAGAAGCAAAGGAUGUGGUGGAUCGGUUUUUGUAGGACGUUAGUAAACACAUAGUGGGUUGUUAAAUUGAGAUUAACAUGAAUAAAAUAAUACCACGGA